AUGACUCGUCGGCAACGUACUCUGCUGGCACGCGCCGGCGACGGGGUCCCACGCGAGCCCGGGGACGCAGAGGCAGCGCCGCACCGCGCCGGCCGCGACCGGGUCGCCGGCGCACGUGGCGUUGGCGCCGUCCUCGCAGUCCGCCUGCGUCUGGCAGAGCGGCUCCCUCGGCGUCGCCCACUGCAGCUCCAGGCCGAGGCGGCCGCCCCACGUCGCCGGAGGCUGCGCGGGGUCGAGGUUCACGAAGCUGGUGUAGGCGCUGCAGAGCUCGGGCGAGGCGCGGAUCCGGUGCGACGUCGACGACCCGCCGGCCACGAACGUGCAGCAGAGCGGCAGCGGCGCGCAGGGCGACCGCGCGGCGUCGGCGUAGGCGUGGCAGAGCGAGCUGGACGAGCAGUUGAGCGGCGAGCGCAGCAGCGCGGAGGUGCAGUUGAGGCACAUGAUGGUGUUGGAGGAGCUCACGUUGAAGGGCAGCGACGGGUCCAGCUGCACGCCGCGCCCAGCGGGGGCCCCCACGGACACGCAGCUGUCGUUGGACACCAGCGGCGCCGGGGCGACCACCAGGCGCUGCGCCGCCGGGGACACGGAGGUGAUCGGGUAGGAGGUGCCGUUGAGCGCGUCGAAGAAGAGCGUCGACGUCGACGCGCCGGCCGCGCACCGGACCUUGUACGCCGGGUCGCCGCACCCGUCCGCCGUGCUCAGCGGGUACGGCACCGCCGUCGAGCCGCACGGAGGGCAGACCCGCGCAUGGCCGCCCAGCGGCAGCAGCGCGAGGAUGGCGACUGCUGCAACCUCGAAGAGGAACAAGGGACGACGGCCGCAAAACGGUGUGCUCGCGGCCAUUGCUUCAAGCUUCUUUGCCGUUGCUGUAGGGGUGGCUGGUGGAUCUGCGAACGAUUUAAGGUGUGGUUGAAUCUUUAUGGUUGCGUUGAGUGGAAGGUCGGAAAUGUUUGA
RNAcentral lists this ribosomal RNA (954 nucleotides) under Triticum aestivum (bread wheat). Its description in RNAcentral is "partial small subunit ribosomal RNA". Lineage: Eukaryota; Viridiplantae; Streptophyta; Magnoliopsida; Poales; Poaceae. The record is from RNAcentral.